UGCGAUGUGUAGCUCUGAUGUAC
RNAcentral lists this microRNA (23 nucleotides) under Ornithorhynchus anatinus (platypus). RNAcentral describes it as "oan-miR-7410-3p". The record is from miRBase by way of RNAcentral. Lineage: Eukaryota; Metazoa; Chordata; Mammalia; Monotremata; Ornithorhynchidae.